GUUUAACGCUGGCGGCGUGCUUAACNCAUGCAAGUCGAACGGUGAACACGGNAGCUUGCUCUGUGGGAUCAGUGGCGAACGGGUGAGUAACACGUGAGCAACCUGCCCCUGACUCUGGGAUAAGCGCUGGAAACGGCGUCUAAUACUGGAUAUGUGACGUGAUCGCAUGGUCUGCGUCUGGAAAGAAUUUCGGUUGGGGAUGGGCUCGCGGCCUAUCAGCUUGUUGGUGAGGUAAUGGCUCACCAAGGCGUCGACGGGUAGCCGGCCUGAGAGGGUGACCGGCCACACUGGGACUGAGACACGGCCCAGACUCCUACGGGAGGCAGCAGUGGGGAAUAUUGCACAAUGGGCGCAAGCCUGAUGCAGCAACGCCGCGUGAGGGACGACGGCCUUCGGGUUGUAAACCUCUUUUAGCAGGGAAGAAGCGAAAGUGACGGUACCUGCAGAAAAAGCGCCGGCUAACUACGUGCCAGCAGCCGCGGGGUAAUA
RNAcentral lists this ribosomal RNA (489 nucleotides) under bacterium ND2-7. RNAcentral's name for it is "bacterial SSU rRNA". It matches the Rfam family "Bacterial small subunit ribosomal RNA", at positions 28 to 525 of the family's 1533-position model. The record is from RNAcentral.